ACGCCAGUCUGCAUGGAGCCGACCUUGAAAUACCACCCUUUAAUGUUUGAUGUUCUAACGUGGACCCGUGAUCCGGGUUGCGGACAGUGUCUGGUGGGUAGUUUGACUGGGGCGGUCUCCUCCUAAAGAGUAACGGAGGAGCACGAAGGUUGGCUAAUCCUGGUCGGACAUCAGGAGGUUAGUGCAAUGGCAUAAGCCAGCUUGACUGCGAGCGUGACGGCGCGAGCAGGUGCGAAAGCAGGUCAUAGUGAUCCGGUGGUUCUGAAUGGAAGGGCCAUCGCUCAACGGAUAAAAGGUACUCCGGGGAUAACAGGCUGAUACCGCCCAAGAGUUCAUAUCGACGGCGGUGUUUGGCACCUCGAUGUCGGCUCAUCACAUCCUGGGGCUGAAGUAGGUCCCAAGGGUAUGGCUGUUCGCCAUUUAAAGUGGUACGCGAGCUGGGUUUAGAACGUCGUGAGACAGUUCGGUCCCUAUCUGCCGUGGGCGCUGGAGAACUGAGGGGGGCUGCUCCUAGUACGAGAGGACCGGAGUGGACGCAUCACUGGUGUUCGGGUUGUCAUGCCAAUGGCACUGCCCGGUAGCUAAAUGCGGAAGAGAUAAGUGCUGAAAGCAUCUAAGCACGAAACUUGCCCCGAG
RNAcentral lists this ribosomal RNA (636 nucleotides) under Salmonella enterica. Its description in RNAcentral is "partial 23S ribosomal RNA". It matches the Rfam family "Bacterial large subunit ribosomal RNA", at positions 2168 to 2803 of the family's 2925-position model. Lineage: Bacteria; Pseudomonadati; Pseudomonadota; Gammaproteobacteria; Enterobacterales; Enterobacteriaceae. The record is from RNAcentral.